This 1332-nucleotide ribosomal RNA is filed under the name metagenome. RNAcentral describes it as "bacterial SSU rRNA". It matches the Rfam family "Bacterial small subunit ribosomal RNA", at positions 95 to 1422 of the family's 1533-position model. The record is from RNAcentral.
GCGGCGAACGGGGGAGUAAUGCAUCGGAACGUACCCAUUUGUGGGGGAUAACUAUCCGAAAGGAUAGCUAAUACCGCAUAAGUCCUGAGGGAGAAAGCAGGGGAUCGCAAGACCUUGCGCGAAUGGAGCGGCCGAUGCCGGAUUAGCUAGUUGGUAGGGUAAAGGCCUACCAAGGCGACGAUCCGUAGCUGGUCUGAGAGGAUGAUCAGCCACACUGGAACUGAGACACGGUCCAGACUCCUACGGGAGGCAGCAGUGGGGAAUUUUGGACAAUGGGGGCAACCCUGAUCCAGCCAUUCCGCGUGAGUGAAGAAGGCCUUCGGGUUGUAAAGCUCUUUCAGCAGGAACGAAAAGGUCUUUUCUAAUACAAGAGGCUACUGACGGUACCUGAAGAAGAAGCACCGGCUAACUACGUGCCAGCAGCCGCGGUAAUACGUAGGGUGCGAGCGUUAAUCGGAAUUACUGGGCGUAAAGCGUGCGCAGGCGGUUUCGUAAGACAGAUGUGAAAUCCCCGGGCUUAACCUGGGAACUGCGUUUGUGACUGCGAGACUCGAGUGUGGCAGAGGGGGGUGGAAUUCCACGUGUAGCAGUGAAAUGCGUAGAGAUGUGGAGGAACACCGAUGGCGAAGGCAGCCCCCUGGGUCAACACUGACGCUCAUGCACGAAAGCGUGGGUAGCAAACAGGAUUAGAUACCCUGGUAGUCCACGCCCUAAACGAUGCGAACUAGGUGUUGGAGAAGGAGACUUCUUUAGUACCGCAGCUAACGCGUGAAGUUCGCCGCCUGGGGAGUACGGUCGCAAGAUUAAAACUCAAAGGAAUUGACGGGGACCCGCACAAGCGGUGGAUGAUGUGGAUUAAUUCGAUGCAACGCGAAAAACCUUACCUACCCUUGACAUGCCAGGAACUUGCCAGAGAUGGCUUGGUGCCCGAAAGGGAGCCUGGACACAGGUGCUGCAUGGCUGUCGUCAGCUCGUGUCGUGAGAUGUUGGGUUAAGUCCCGCAACGAGCGCAACCCUUGUCAUUAGUUGCCAUCAUUUAGUUGGGCACUCUAAUGAGACUGCCGGUGACAAACCGGAGGAAGGUGGGGAUGACGUCAAGUCCUCAUGGCCCUUAUGGGUAGGGCUUCACACGUCAUACAAUGGUCGGUACAGAGGGUUGCCAAGCCGCGAGGUGGAGCCAAUCCCAGAAAGCCGAUCGUAGUCCGGAUCGGAGUCUGCAACUCGACUCCGUGAAGUCGGAAUCGCUAGUAAUCGUGGAUCAGCAUGCCACGGUGAAUACGUUCCCGGGUCUUGUACACACCGCCCGUCACACCAUGGGAGUGGGUUUCACCA